AGGGAAUCUUCCGCAAUGGGCGAAAGCCUGACGGAGCAACGCCGCGUGAGCGAUGAAGGUCUUCGGAUCGUAAAACUCUGUUAUUAGGGAAGAACAAAUGUGUAAGUAACUAUGCACGUCUUGACGGUACCUAAUCAGAAAGCCACGGCUAACUACGUGCCAGCAGCCGCGGUAAUACGUAGGUGGCAAGCGUUAUCCGGAAUUAUUGGGCGUAAAGCGCGCGUAGGCGGUUUUUUAAGUCUGAUGUGAAAGCCCACGGCUCAACCGUGGAGGGUCAUUGGAAACUGGAAAACUUGAGUGCAGAAGAGGAAAGUGGAAUUCCAUGUGUAGCGGUGAAAUGCGCAGAGAUAUGGAGGAACACCAGUGGCGAAGGCGACUUUCUGGUCUGUAACUGACGCUGAUGUGCGAAAGCGUGGGGAUCAAACAGGAUUAGAUACCCUGGUAGUCCACGCCGUAAACGAUGAGUGCUAAGUGUUAGGGGGUUUCCGCCCCUUAGUGCUGCAGCUAACGCAUUAAGCACUCCGCCUGGGGAGUACGACCGCAAGGUUG
RNAcentral lists this ribosomal RNA (549 nucleotides) under uncultured bacterium. Its description in RNAcentral is "bacterial SSU rRNA". It matches the Rfam family "Bacterial small subunit ribosomal RNA", at positions 356 to 896 of the family's 1533-position model. The record is from RNAcentral.